CACUGACACACACAACAAUCUUCAUCAACAUGACCUUCAUCAUCAUCUUCAUCUGGACUCUCACAGCGUUUGCUCAAGAGAGUAGAGGACAGAUCAGCGUCACUCAGAGUCCCUCAACGACAGCAGCUCAACCAGAAGAAACAGUCAAAAUCAACUGUAGAACCAGCACAGAUGUAGCAGAAUAUAGUGCGCCACGUUACUAUUUAAGCUGGUAUUUACAGAAACCUGGAGAAGCUCCUAAACUCCUGAUUUAUCUAACAAUAGACCGUUACAGUGGAACUCCAUCUAGAUUCAGUGGCAGUGGAUCUAACAGUGAUUUCACUCUGACCAUCAGUGGAGUCCAGACUGAAGAUGCUGGACAUUAUUACUGUCAGAGUGCUCACUAUAUCAGCAGUAGCUGGGUGUUCACACAGUGAUAAAGAGUGGUACAAAAACCUCCGUCAGUCAGAGUCACAGUGAUGAACUGAUGCUGCAGCUGCUCAAACACUAUCACACACUACUGACACACAGAGACCAAACACAGAACUACA
This is a non-coding RNA of Sinocyclocheilus grahami, 530 nucleotides long. The record is from the annotation of a RefSeq genome assembly. NCBI's taxonomy places the organism in Eukaryota, Metazoa, Chordata, Actinopteri, Cypriniformes, Cyprinidae.